Molecule: ribosomal RNA, 466 nt
Filed under: uncultured bacterium
Lineage: Bacteria
Description: partial 16S ribosomal RNA
Rfam family: Bacterial small subunit ribosomal RNA
Source: RNAcentral
GACGAACGCUGGCGGCGUGCUUAACACAUGCAAGUCGAACGGAAAGGCCCUGCUUGCAGGGUACUCGAGUGGCGAACGGGUGAGUAACACGUGGGUGAUCUGCCCUGCACUUCGGGAUAAGAUUGGGAAACAGGGUCUAAUACAGGAUAGGAGCCAUCUUUAGUGAGGGGGUUGGAAAGUAUUUUCGGUGUAGGAUGAGCGCGCGGCCUAUCAGCUUGUUGGUGGGGUAAUGGCCUACCAAGGCGGCGACGGGGAGCCGGCCUGUGAGGGUGUACGGCCACAUUUGGACUGUGAUACGGCCCAGACUCCUACGGGGGGCAGCAGUGGGGAAUAUUGCACAAUGGGCGCAAGCCUGAUGCAGCGACGCCGCGUGGGGGAUGAAGGCCUUCGGGUUGUAAACUCCUUUCGCUAGGGACGAAGCGUUGUUGUGACGGUACCUAGAUAAGAAGCACCGGCUAACUACGUG